RNAcentral lists this long non-coding RNA (1507 nucleotides) under Felis catus (domestic cat). RNAcentral describes it as "lncRNA (ENSFCAG00000053146.1)". Lineage: Eukaryota; Metazoa; Chordata; Mammalia; Carnivora; Felidae. The record is from RNAcentral.
GAGUGGGCUCACUGUUUCCCCCAUCUCACCAGGUCUGAUCUGCGCUGUCAGCAGUAGCCAGGGACGGGCCGCCUCAGGGAGAGCAAAUCACGCCUUUGGGAGCUGGGCCGCUCCGGGGGGGCCCCAGGCAGGGCCUGCGAGGACGCCAGAGGCUGCGGGGGCACCGUGCUCAGACCUGGGCCUCACCCGUCCCACCCCCCUCGAUCAUCUGCCAGCUGCGUGGCCUUGACACUCAUCUUCCUGACUCCCAGGACUCUGAGCUGUAACAUGGGGAUAACCCGUCACGCGUUCUGGGGAGAGGUGGUCAGGACAGCGCUGGCCAGAAGGAUCGGUGUGCUGUUAUACCCCCCUCACGCCUCCUGCACCCGGGAAAAUCCAGCCGUUUCCUUUUCCACCGUUUGGAGCCAACGCGGCAUCUUGGAUAAGUCACUUCAUCUCGUGGAGGCCAUGCCAAUGACAGAUGCCGUUGGUGGAAAUAAAGGGGGGGGGGAACGCGUGGGUCUCUGACACCAGCAUCUCCUGCCUGCUGCUCGGCCCACGUGUCCCACCUUUUGAAAAGUCUGUGUUGGGCCACGACCCAGGGCCGAGGGAGCAAUAAUUCUCCACCGGCACGCUGCCUGCCGAGCCGGCCAUAGCUCACACUCCCCGCCUCCCUCCUCUCUGGGAUUUAGAGCCCUACUCAUCAUCUGGCUGAAGUGUCAAGGAUUUCCUUUCCUGCAGGAAAUUAACUUGCAUUUUACACUUUACACCCAUAGAAAUUUAAUCAUCCGCCAUCCCCAGUCUGUCCUGCGUGACAGAGAGAUGGCUGCUGGCCCCACUCCUCUGAAAUACGGCCUUCCCUGUCAAUCCGGGGGGACCGGGAGGCGGGGGGGCUUUGGGCAUCCGCAGAAAGCAGGUCCUUCUAAAUACAUUUCUGAGUCCAAGCCUGAGGAUUUGUUCCCAUAGGAGGAAACUUAGAGGUGGCAGGCAGGAUGAGGGGAAAGGAAGGCUGGGACACGUGUGCUAGAGGGCCACAGGGCAGCCCCAGCUGUCCCCCCAGGGUGUCCCUCCCUCUUCACCUCGGGAGACAGGGGGAUGAGGGCUGUGACUGCACCCCGCCCCAUUAGCUGGUGCAAACUCCCAGCCACGCUCCGCUGUGUGACUCCAAGUCAUUCUUUGCUCACACUGUUGCCUCUCCCAGCCUCUCCUUGAUUGCAUAUUCUUGCUCUGGCGUUGCCUCGCCUAAGGGGGACCGUCUCCCUCAAGUGCCCCAAGUCCCAUCCCCCUCUCUUCCACAUGCCCUAAGUGUGACCCUAUCACAGCCCAGAUCACACUGUGGGAUGGUCCCGGCUUACAGGUCCUGUCUCCUCCCGCUGGCCCAUUAGCCGUCCCAAGACAGAACCAAGGUUUGCCUUCAUCCUGGUGUUUGGAGGGCAGAGGCCUAGGUCCUGUACAGGGGAGAGGGAUUUGAACUAAGACGUGUGUUCACAUGAGUUGAGCUCAGGGCCAUAGGCUCUGAACUCAUGAA